CAUUGGGCUGGUCGGGAUAGCUCAGCUGG
This 29-nucleotide transfer RNA is filed under the name Gentiana algida. RNAcentral's name for it is "partial tRNA-Phe". Lineage: Eukaryota; Viridiplantae; Streptophyta; Magnoliopsida; Gentianales; Gentianaceae. The record is from RNAcentral.